UCAGGCCUAACACAUGCAAGUCGAGCGGGGUUUUCGGACCUAGCGGCGGACGGGUGAGUAAUGCGUAGGAAGCUACCCGGCAGAGGGGGAUACCAGUUGGAAACGACUGUUAAUACCGCAUAAUGUCUACGGACCAAAGUGUGGGACCUUCGGGCCACAUGCUGUCGGAUGCGCCUACGUGGGAUUAGCUAGUUGGUGAGGUAAUGGCUCACCAAGGCGACGAUCCCUAGCUGGUUUGGGAGGAUGAUCAGCCACACUGGAACUGAGACACGGUCCAGGCUCCUACGGGAGGCAGCAGUGGGGAAUAUUGGACAAUGGGCGCAAGCCUGAUCCAAAAGUGCCGCGUGUGUGAAGAAGGCCUUCGGG
Molecule: ribosomal RNA, 366 nt
Filed under: uncultured bacterium
Lineage: Bacteria
Description: bacterial SSU rRNA
Rfam family: Bacterial small subunit ribosomal RNA
Source: RNAcentral